Molecule: non-coding RNA, 65 nt
Organism: Heterocephalus glaber (naked mole-rat)
Lineage: Eukaryota; Metazoa; Chordata; Mammalia; Rodentia; Bathyergidae
Source: Rfam
CAUGAGAGAGCUGAUGUGGCUGGUGUGGUACAGAGAAGCCAGCUCGUUUACAUGCUUAAUCCAUG